UCAACCACAAUGCAUUUAUGAGGUUAUAUGUUUCUUCUGCUUCAUGUACUUAUCGGUCACUGUAUACAUAUUCAAGAGAAAGGCAUAAACUCUAUUGUUUUAAACAAUCUAAAGCUUUUAGUCUGUCAUUAAAAAUAUCUUAAAGAGGGAAGUCUUUUCACGCAUCUAUUUUCAUUUGUCUCAGGACUCUUACUAAAAACAUUUGAGUGUGGACAUGAAUCCUACAUGAAAGCUAAAAAAUAAAUACUUUUUUAAACUAUUUUUACAGAUACUUGACAUCUUAACACAGCUGUAUCAGUAAGAUAUUUAUGUCAUCACAAACAAUUAUUUGAUCAAAUCUUAGUAAAUUAAAUCUAUAAAGACCCAACUGUUUUUAUUUUAAUAAAAUGAAACAUUAUAGUGUGAAAAAUAAGUAUGUUGCAUUUAUACAGCAUGGUUAACAACACCAUUUGUAAAAGUGAGAAAGAAAGUCUAAUCUGUUGUAAAAUUUCUGUGAGACAUUUGUAGCAACUUGUAUAAGAAGCACUUUUGGUUUCAAAGAACCUUAUGUCAACUCAUUUUCAAUCUAAUAUAGGUCUUUUUGUGUUUGUAUGCUUGUGUUUGUUGUUUACGUUUGUAUGUUUGUUUGUACAGUAUGUUUGUGUUUUUGUGUAUGUGUUUGUGUGUUUGUUUUUGCGUGUAUGUUUGUGUUUGUGACCUAGUUUGUUUUUUGUAUGUUUGUGUACUUGUUUGAGUUUGGGGGUGUAUAUUUGUGUUUGUUUGUAAUUUUAGUUUUUAUCUUUGUAUGUUUGCAUUUGUAUGUUUGUGUUUGUGGUUUACGUUUGUAUGUUUGUUUGUACAGUAUGUUUAUGUUUGUAUGUUGUGUUUGUGCCCUAGUUUGUUUGUUUUGUAUGUUUGUGUACUUGUUUGAGUUUGGGUGUAUAUUUGUGUUGUUUGUAAGUUUUAGUUUGUAUGUUUGUUUGUACAGUAUGUUUGCAUUUGUAUGUUUGUGUUUGCUGUUUACGUUUGUAUGCUUGUUUGUAAUUUUUAGUUUGUAUGUUUGCAUUUGUAUGCUUGUGUUUGUGGUUUACGUUUGUAUGUUUGUUUGUACAGUAUGUUUAUGUUUGUAUGUUUGUGUUUGUGACCUAGUUUGUUUGUUUGUAUAUUUGUUUACUUGUUUGAGUUUGGGUGUAUAUUUGCAUAUGUUUGUAAGUUUUAGUCGGUAUGUUUGUGUGCAUUAUGUUGUUUUCUGUAUGUUUACGUUUGUGUGUGUGUGUGUGUGUGAUUGUGUGUGUAGACUGUCUUGUUAAAACAAUCAUAGAUCUCACAUCCUUUUGACCACUAAAUUAACUUUCAGCUAACCUCACGCUCACAGGUCAACGUCAUAAAUAUUUUAAAUUGUAAACCUUUGAUCACUGAACGCAAAAUGUUGAGCUUUAGCUGACCCGCAGCACCACCAUUUACAAUGCCAGACCCCCUCAAAACUAAUUAGUUUACAAUUGAGUUGCAAACCCCGAAAACCUUUAGAUUUUUUACAAUCUUUCAAAAUACCUUUCGCUGAUAUGGUCGUACCGGCAAUCACACAGUCCCA
Molecule: long non-coding RNA, 1570 nt
Organism: Cyprinus carpio (common carp)
Lineage: Eukaryota; Metazoa; Chordata; Actinopteri; Cypriniformes; Cyprinidae
Source: Ensembl